This 960-nucleotide non-coding RNA is filed under the name Pteropus scapulatus (little red flying fox). RNAcentral describes it as "partial 12S ribosomal RNA". It matches the Rfam family "Bacterial small subunit ribosomal RNA". Lineage: Eukaryota; Metazoa; Chordata; Mammalia; Chiroptera; Pteropodidae. The record is from RNAcentral.
CAAAGGUUUGGUCCUAGCCCUUCUAUUAGCCAUCAGUAGGAUUACACAUGCAAGUAUCAGCACCCCGGUGAAGAUGCCCUUUAAUCACCAACGGUGAUAAAGGAGCGGGUAUCAAGCACACUAUACAGUAGCUAAAGACACCUUGCCUAGCCACACCCCCACGGGAUACAGCAGUGACAAAAAUUAAGCCAUGAACGAAAGUUUGACUAAGCCAUACUAACUCUCAGGGUUGGUAAAUUUCGUGCCAGCCACCGCGGUCAUACGAUUAACCCGAGUUAAUAGACAUACGGCGUAAAACGUGUUAAGGAAACUCCACCCAGUAAUAAAGUUAAAUCUCAAGCUAUGCUGUAGAAAGCUCUAGCUAAGACAAAAAUAAACCACGAAGGUGACUUUAAACCAUCCGACCACACGAUAGCUAAGACACAAACUGGGAUUAGAUACCCCACUAUGCUUAGCCCUAAACCUAAGUAGCCAAAACAACAAUGCUAUUCGCCAGAGUACUACUAGCAACAGCUUAAAACUCAAAGGACUUGGCGGUGCUUUACAUCCCUCUAGAGGAGCCUGUUCUGUAAUCGAUAAACCCCGAUAAACCUCACCAACUCUUGCUAAUACAGCCUAUAUACCGCCAUCUUCAGCAAACCCUAAAAAGGAAACAAAGUAAGCAAAACCAUAAAACAUAAAAACGUUAGGUCAAGGUGUAGCCUAUGAGUUGGAAAGAAAUGGGCUACAUUUUCUAGCAUAGAACACCAACGAAAAUUUUCGUGAAAUCGAAAAUAGAAGGAGGAUUUAGUAGUAAAUUAAGAAUAGAGAGCUUAAUUGAAUCAGGCCAUGAAGCACGCACACACCGCCCGUCACCCUCCUCAAGUAUAAAGAUACAAGUACCCAAUCCUAUUAACGAACGUACAUGCAUACAAGAGGAGAUAAGUCGUAACAAGGUAAGCGUACUGGAAAGUGCGCUUG